AUUCACAAGAAUCAUCAUCAUAUACAACAAACUCUACAUUUUUCUGGGAAAACUUCAAAAACCCCCCUAUGUGGUUUUAUAGUUUCUCACUUUGCCCCCUUGUAGUUUAAAAUAUAUCAAAUUGCCCUCUUGUGGUUUCGUUUUUAUCUUUUCGGUAACUUUUUCGUUAAUAUUUCAUUAAAUUAUAUAUAAAAAACUUCAGAUAUCCAUCUAGAUUUAUCAAAUAUUCACUUUAGUACCCUUUAAUUUUAACUUUAUCACUGAUUUAAGAAAAAAAAAUAAUGAAAUUGAUAAGAAAAAGAAAAAAAAGAAACCACAUGGGGGCAAAUUGAUACAUUUUAAACUAUAGGGGGGCAAAGUGAGAAACUACGAAACCGCAUGGGGUUUUUUGAAGUUUUUCCUUUUUUCUAAUUAACCAACAAGUUUUCAAAUACAUCUUUUCCUUUU
This 447-nucleotide long non-coding RNA is filed under the name Ananas comosus (pineapple). RNAcentral's name for it is "long non-coding RNA (ACOM_LNC035964)". The record is from RNAcentral. Lineage: Eukaryota; Viridiplantae; Streptophyta; Magnoliopsida; Poales; Bromeliaceae.